This 6417-nucleotide long non-coding RNA is filed under the name Lactuca sativa (garden lettuce). RNAcentral describes it as "long non-coding RNA (LSAT_LNC000836)". The record is from RNAcentral. Lineage: Eukaryota; Viridiplantae; Streptophyta; Magnoliopsida; Asterales; Asteraceae.
UAGGGUGAAACCCUAAUAACCCAUGUCUUUUCCUUUCCAAGGAUCCAUGGGUUAAAAGCUCCAUGGAUCAUCCAUGGACUUCCAUAUAAGCCUAGCCCAUUAACAAAUGAGUGUUAGCCCACACUAUAUAAAACCAAUAGCCCACAAUCUAAUUAGUCUUCCUUUUAAUCUCUAAAUUAAUUCAUAAUUAAUUUAAGACUAAGACUAAUUAAAUAACAUGACUUCAUAUUAAUAUAUUAUAACUUAUAAUAUAUUAAUAAACUUAUGUGUAUAACUCUCAUAAAAUUAUCCAUAAAUAGUUNUUGUUGUCACAGAAAAUCUCUAUAGGUUCCUUAAUAGCUGGUACAACUCCAAGGUCUCCGAUGAAGUUCUUUAGCCAUAUCGCCUCCUUCGCUGCUUCACUCGCUGCUAUAUACUCUGAUUCACAAGUCGAAUCAGCCACCGUCUCCUGCUUGGAACUCUUCCAAGAAAUUGCCCCUCCAUUUAAGGUAAAGAUCCAGCCCGACUGAGAGCGGAAAUUAUCCCUAUCAGUCUGAAAACCAGCAUCACUAUACCCUAAUAUUCUCAAGUCAUCACUGCCACCAAGGGUAAGGACCCAAUCCUUAGUCCUCCGCAGGUACUUGAGAAUGUUCUUUACCGCGGUCCAAUGAGCCUUGCCAGGGUUCCCCUGAUACCUGCUGACCAUGCUCAAAGCAAAUGCCACAUCAGGACGGGUACAAGUCAUAGCAUACAUGAUCGAGCCAACUGCGGAAGCAUAUGGUAAUUGGCUCAUCUCAGCUAUCUCAGCCUCUGUACUCGGACUCUGAGUCUUACUCAGUUUGGUAUUGCUUUGGAUCGGUAAAUCUCCUUUCUUGGAAUUCUCCAUGUUGAACCUUUUCAACACCUUAUCCAAGUAGAUACUCUGACUAAGUCCAAUUAGUCUUCUACUCCUUUCUCUUAAUAUCCUUAUCCCUAGGAUAUAGGUAGCCUCCCCUAGGUCCUUCAUAGCAAAGCACUUCCCAAGCCAGGACUUAACCUCCUGCAAGGUUGGGAUGUCAUUUCCUAUGAGUAGUAUGUCAUCCACAUACAGUACCAAGAAGCUAACUAUACUCCCACUAGCUCUGACAUACACGCAAGACUCAUCUUCGCUUCUCAAGAAGCCAAACUCUUUUACCUUCUCAUCAAAACAAAGAUUCCAGCUACGAGAUGCUUGUUUUAAUCCAUAAAUGGAUUUCUUAAGCUUGCAUACUCUAUUAGGGUACUCUGCAUUGACAAAACCCUCUGGCUGAUUCAUGUACACAUCCUCAGCCAACUUUCCAUUAAGGAAAGCGGUUUUGACAUCCAUUUGCCAUAUUUCAUAAUCAUGAAAUGCUGCAAUGGCUAACAUAACCCUAAUAGACUUAAUCUUGGCCACCGGCGAGAAGGUUUCAUCAUAAUCAAUACCUUGAGUUUGAGUAAAACCCUUCGCAACCAGUCGAGCCUUAUAAGUAUGCACUUUUCCUUCCAUGUCGGUCUUCUUUUUGAAGAUCCAUUUGCACCCGACUGUUUUACGGCCUGGUACAUUGUCAACCAAGUUCCAAACUUGAUUGUCAUACAUGGACUGUAUCUCGCUGUCCAUAGCCUCCUUCCAUUUAGCAGACUCCGGGCCUGCCAUGGCUUCCUUAACACUGCUAGGUUCAUCCAAAUUUACUAGUGUACUAUCACUAAUAAACGUAUCACCUUCCGUAGUAAUAUGAAAACCAUAAUAAAACGAAGGUGUGUUCCUAACCCGUGUGGAACGUCUCGGAGGUACAGACUCGUCAGCUGGAUCAACAGGAGUUUCUUCCUCAGGUUGAUUGCUAGUGUCUGAGGUUCCUUCACCAAUUGAUUCUUGAAUUUCUUCAAGAUCAAUCUGCCUCCCACUGUCUCCUUGGCUUAUAAAUUCUUUCUCGCGAAAGAUCCCUCUUCGUGCUACAAAGACCACAUUCUCACUGGGUCUGUAGAAAAGGUAACCGAAGGAUUUCUGUGGGUAGCCGAUGAAAAUACACCUUUCACUUCGGGGUUCAAGCUUAUCAUGAGUUUCACGCCUCACGAAGGCUUCGCAACCCCAAAUUUUGAUGUGGUCCAAAUUGGGAACCUUCCCAGUCCACAUCUCAUGAGGUGUUUUGGUAACCUUCUUUGUAGGGACUAGAUUAAGGAUAUGGGCGGCAGUCUCUAAGGCAUACCCCCAAAAAGAGAUUGGUAACGAAACUCGACUCAUCAUAGAGCGAACCAUGUCCAACAAGGUACGAUUACGCCUCUCAGCUACACCAUUCAGCUGUGGUGUCCUGGGAGGAGUCAAUUGUGAGACAAUCCCACACUCCUUAAGAUAGUCAAGGAACUCGGUACUAAGAUACUCACCACCUCGAUCGGAUCGAAGCAUCUUAAUGUUCCUGCCCAAUUGAUUUUCUACUUCCUGUUUGAAUUCCUUAAACCUUUCAAAGGUUUCGGACUUGUGUUUGAUCAAGUAGACAUACCCAUAUCUACUAUAAUCAUCAAUAAAAGUCACAUAAUACCGAUUAGCGUCCCUUGUGGCGGUUUUGAAUGGCCCACAUACAUCAGUAUGUAUUAGGUCCAACAAACCUUCACCCCUCUCACAAGUUCCAGUGAAGGGUGAUUUUGUCAUUUUUCCAAGUAGACAAGAUUCACAACUAUCAUCUGAUUUGAGGUCAAAUGAUUCCAAGACUCCACUCUUUUGGAGUUGGUCUAUGCGUUUCUUGUUUACAUGUCCAAGACGACAAUGCCACAAUGAUGCUUUAUCUAGGCUAGUAGAAGAAUCAAUAUACAACACAUUAUUUCCUAAGUUGUCUACAAUCGACACAGUUUCAUACACGCCAUCACAAGGUAAUGCUUUAAAAUAAAACACAUUAUUAAAGAAAGCAUUAAUACCACCACAUUCAUUAUCAAACGAAAAGGUAAAACCUUGUUUGUACAAAGCAUGAAAAGAAAUAAUAUUCCUCGCCAUUUCAGACGAGUAUACACAUUUAUUCAAAUCUAAUUUUAACCCAUUAUUAAGCAACAAAGUAUAAACUCCAAUCUUGGAAACAGGUGAAGCCUUCCUAUUCCCCAUGAUUAAGUUUAUCUUCCCGUGCUCCACAUCCUCACUUCUUCUUAGGCCCUGCAAAUCAGAACAUAUGUGAAUACCACAUCCUGUAUCAAGCACCCAAGAGUUAGAAUAUGUUGAGUAAUUAGACAAUAUAGUGUAAAUACCUGCAUAGGUGGGUUUCACUUUCCCAUCCUUUAGAUCCUGCAAGUACUUAGGGCAGUUUCGCUUCCAGUGUGCCUUUUCAUGGCAAUAAAAGCAUUCAGCAUCCUUUGGAAUGGCAGAAGGAGUGACAGAACCGUUCUUAGUCUUGGAUGAGGAGCCUUCAAGAGACUUUCCCUUGGUACCCUUCGAAGGGUGCUUCCUCUUUUUCCCUUUGCCUUGCCCAAUAGCUAAAACAGGGGUAGAAGUUGGAGUAGGAGUAGUAGAGGUAACAACCGCUUUACCCUUAAGACCGGUUUCAGCGGUCUUCAAGAGUCCUUGAAGCUUGCUGAGGGUAACUUCCUCCUUGUUCAUAUGAUAUGUCAUUCGAAAAUGAUCAUAACAAGAAGGCAAGGAGUGCAAAAUGAUGUCAAUUGCUAACUCCUCGGGGAUGUUAACAUUCAGCUUCAGCAAACGGUCCACAUACCUUUGCAUCUUUUGCAUGUGGCCCGUGACGGAUUCACCGUCCUUCAUGCGGGUAGUUAUUAUGGAGGAGAUUAUUUCAUACCGCUCCUGACGAGCACUCUGAUGGUACCUUUCCAUCAAGUCUUGGUGCAUCUCAAAAGGGUAGAAAUCUUCAUAUGACUUUUGGAGCUCGGCUGUCAUCGUGGCCAUCAUGAUACAUGCCACCUUAGUAGCAUCUCUCUCAUGAGUCCUGAAUUCAGCGAUCUCCUCAGGAGUAGCAGUAGACUCAUCAAGUUCUUUUAACUCCUUAUCGAGGACAUAUUCCUUGUCCUCGUAACGAGUAACCAUCCUGAUGUUCCUAAUCCAAUCCAUGAAGUUGGAACCAUCAAAGAUGACCCUCCCACAAAGAUUCAUGAGAGAGAAAGAACCAGUUGGGUUAGAGCCUGAAGCAUUAGUGUUGGAAGACAUCUGAAAGAAGAAAGUAAGUUUAGAUUAGAUAUUUAGGAUCCUUAAUAAGACACCCAAAUGUAAUAUUAAGGCUAGGAUCCAAUCACAAUAUAUUACACUUAGAAGAGGGAUGCCGUAAUCUAAGUAAUAAUAUAUUUGAAAGGUAGGCGAAUGACGAUUCACCAAUUUCCACCAUGAAAACGAAAUGAUUAAUUAGGUUUAAUUGGAUUUGAAAUUCCUAGAUUCUUUUGAGAUUCAUUGAACUUUUCAAUGGCAUGUUUCAAUCUCGAUUGUGCCCUUCAAGUUUUGUGACUGGGAUGCCGAGGAUCACAAAACAAGGUGUGAAUAACCAUGCUAACUCACUUGGUACUCCUAAUAUUAUCACCUAAUCAAUGUGCCGGUUAACCACACACGCUCCAUUGAUCUAUGACAACAUUAAGUUACCCUUCGUGAUCCUUACUAGUCUAAUUAGUGUGCCGGUUAACCACACACGCUCCACUAACGACUUGGUAAGGUACAAAGUGUGAAUUCCAUGGAUUAGCACCAUGUUCACAUUUUCCUAAAAUAACUAAGAUUGGGAAUUAAAAGAGUUUAGUUAUUUUAUAAUAUUCAUUAUACUUUUAAUGAGGAUUUAAAGUCGUUGUUCUACCCGUUCGGCUAACGACCCUCCACCGAUCAAGCAAGCGGUGGGUGAGAGUAUACACCCAUUAAGUCGCCAUUUUAUAGGCAACAACCUUAUACCCACCUUAUAGACCGGCUUCGUGAAUGAGGCCUACUAACGGUAAAACGACUUAUUCUUAUACAUAUAUAUAAUAAUUAACCAUUAAUGUUAUAAAUAGUAUAAGGGUUGAAUUUUAACUAUUAAAACUCUAAGGUUUGGAAUUAAAGUUUAUUAAAGUGUGUGAAACUUUACAAAUUCCAAAACUUGAGGACAAGUUUUGUAACUUUGCAAAACUCUUCAUUUCAUAACUUAUGAAUUAAAGGUUCAUAAAAAUGAAGACUCUUCAUUUUCAUGUAACUUAUGUGUUUUAAGUGUGUGUUAAAUGAAAGUGACCUUUGGUAAUCCAUAACUUGAGGACAAAUUAUGGACUCCAUUAAAACACAUAAAUGAUUAAGAAUUAAUUCUAAACAAUUCAGCAAAUAAUUCCUAUCAUUUUCUAAAUUCAUAAGAACAUGAACAUGAUCAUCAAAAAUUCAAGAAUUAUAUGAACACAUAAAAUCAUGGAUUUUUGAUAUAUGCUAUUGUAAAUGGAUUAGAACAACCAUUACACCAACUAAAAUAAGUUUUACAACACCAAAACAAUUUAGGGUAAUGUUUCCAGUCCAUUUCCAGCAGCAAAAGUCGAGAUUCUGCAUUCUUUCGAUCCUACUCGCCGAGUGCACGAACGGACUCGUCGAGUAGGUUGAAGUUUGCCUUGGACUCGGCGAGUCCCCCCAAUGGACUCGGCGAGUCUAGCAUGCAGACAGCAACGAUUUCAACUUUUUUCACUAUUUUGCAUCAAGUAUCAAACAAGCAAGCCUAGGCUCUGAUACCACUGUUGGGUUUUGAGCAAUCUAACACUUCCUAAGUGUGCAUGCAACCCUAAUAAACCUUGGAUCUAUGUUUGUCUAAAUACAUGCAAAAUAAUAAUUUUCCAAGGUUCAUAACCUAUCUAACAUGGCAUGGGGUACUUUUAAACAUAAAAGAAUUAGAUGAGAUUACAUACCUUUUGAUGAUGAGUUCAAUUCCUAAGGAGUUUGAGGGCCAAACACCAAUAGUGUGAAUGCCUCAAAUGGAAUCACAAAUCACCACAAACUCUUGGAAAACUUUGAGAGAGUGUAUACACACAUAGAAAAUCGGCCACACACACAAAACCACACUAGUGGCUAUUUCAUGCAACAUAAGCAUGCUUAUAUAGUGUACAUGGUUAGGGUGAAACCCUAAUAACCCAUGACCUUUCCUUUUCCAAGGAUCCAUGGGUUAAAAGCUCCAUGGAUCAUCCAUGGACUUCCAUACAAGCCUAGCCCAUUAACAAAUGAGUGUUAGCCCACACUAUAUAAAACCAAUAGCCCAUAAUCUAAUUAGUCUUCCUUUUAAUCUCUAAAUUAAUUCAUAAUUAAUUUAAGACUAAGACUAAUUAAAUAACAUGACUUCAUAUUAAUAUAUUAUAACUUAUAAUAUAUUAAUAAGAUAUGUGUAUAACUCUCAUAAAAUUAUCCAUAAAUAGUUCGGGUGAGAUGCAACCCAAAUGGACCAUGCCGAUCGGGUCAAGUAUAUACCAAAUAAGUUAUGGACUUAGACACCUUAUCCAACAAAAAUUUGGUCCAUCAACAAAAAGGAUUUG